Arachis ipaensis is the source of this 331-nucleotide non-coding RNA. The record is from RefSeq and is a predicted model, not a curated record. NCBI's taxonomy places the organism in Eukaryota, Viridiplantae, Streptophyta, Magnoliopsida, Fabales, Fabaceae.
UUCCCGUAACUUCUCCGUCCGAGCUCCGAUCGCCGCACCAUUUGCGGCCACGUGUUCACCGCGUCGAGAUCUACGUUUCUACCAGAACAAUUUCACAGGAUCCAAUUAGCUUGAGGAAAACGUUCACUCUUGCUUAUGUGAAGCUUAGGUAAGGUUACGAAUAAAUAAUUGGAGCUUGAAAUUGUGAAUACUGGAACUUGGAGGAAGCUGACUAGUUGAAUUUUGAGGGGCUGCCUUGAUUUUGAAGAAAUAGCUUUGGUCGUUACGUAGAAAUCGGCCAAGAUGCAGGUCGGGGGCCAUCUCGUUAGGCGUCUGGACUCUUGAAGUGGAG